GUCUACGCCCAUACCACUCUGAACGCGCCCAAUCUCGUCUGAUCUCGGAAGCUAAGCAGGGUCAGGCCUGGUUAGUACUUGGAUGGGAGAAAACUACAAAUUGAGGCUGGCAUUGUGG
Molecule: ribosomal RNA, 118 nt
Filed under: Ochotona princeps (American pika)
Lineage: Eukaryota; Metazoa; Chordata; Mammalia; Lagomorpha; Ochotonidae
Source: RNAcentral